RNAcentral lists this long non-coding RNA (466 nucleotides) under Homo sapiens (human). RNAcentral's name for it is "non-protein coding lnc-CYP7A1-9:1". The record is from RNAcentral. Lineage: Eukaryota; Metazoa; Chordata; Mammalia; Primates; Hominidae.
GAACCCGCGCCCCCGCUUCCGGUGCUGGCCCACCUUUUUGGUUUCUCCUUUUUUCUUAAAGGGAGUUUCUCCGCAGGGAAACCUCUGUUAAGUUUUGUGUUGCUCCUGCUACUCGCCUAAAGGCACUGUAGGCCGCCCUAGAGGGCAGCAUAGACUUGCAGAUUCAUUUAGCUCAACAAUGAAAACAUCCUCUGGAUUUUUCAUCUGAUGAAAAAUUGCAACCUCUCCAUCUAGUCUUGGUCAGAUUCUCUGAUCUUUCCUAUCAAGGAUUGGAUGGUACAUCGUCACCACAGCGUGAAUUAGCACUGAGAGUGAAAAACACCGUAAAAAGUGCUUGGAAUAAUUUGCUAAAAGCAGAACUCUGCCGGGCCUGUGGCUCACGCCUGUAGUCCCAGCACUUUGGGAGGCCGAGGCGGACGAGGUGAUCGAGACCAUCCUGGCCAACAUGGUGAAACCCCUUCUCUAC